RNAcentral lists this long non-coding RNA (343 nucleotides) under Ananas comosus (pineapple). RNAcentral describes it as "long non-coding RNA (ACOM_LNC023920)". Lineage: Eukaryota; Viridiplantae; Streptophyta; Magnoliopsida; Poales; Bromeliaceae. The record is from RNAcentral.
GGGGUUGUAGAAAAGAAGAACACAAUGUUGUAAUAAUAUUGAUUGUAUUUGAAAGAAAAUAAAAUAAAAAUGUAAUAUGUAAAAAGCAUGUGAUGUGAAUGUUUGUAAUACCUUAGUUGUUUAUGUUGUUUGAUACCUUCCUUAUACAAUCGUUGUAUGAAUACUGUUUUUGUUUGGAAUCUCUUGUAUUGUACUGUUUGUGACGCCUAGGACGUACAGGAAAAACUCUGUCCGUUUUGCGGUCUGUUGACGACUCGAAUCCGAUCAAAUAGGCGGGUCAUAGGGCGUGACAGAUAAAGUGGUAUCGGAGCAUAAAGUAGAGAAUAGGGAUGGUUUAGAGGAA